This is a long non-coding RNA of Passer montanus (Eurasian tree sparrow), 1907 nucleotides long. RefSeq lists it as uncharacterized. The record is from RefSeq and is a predicted model, not a curated record. NCBI's taxonomy places the organism in Eukaryota, Metazoa, Chordata, Aves, Passeriformes, Passeridae. The transcript is spliced from 4 exons.
GUCGACUGUGCUGAACUGGAAAGGAAGAAAUGUUAUUUUUUCCAGGAUGAAAGCAAAACAAGAUCUCUCCCUGUUUAUCCUGUCUCACCCUUUUCUAAAGAAGGUUUUGGAGCCUCGAAAAGCAGCAGGAAAGAGAUGGGUCCUUUCUGCAUGUCAGGCCUGCCUCUGCAGCACAGGCUGUGGGUCUGCCCUCACAGUCCCCUGGCAGAGGAGGCUAUGUCUGAGUAAAGUCUGAUGCAAGAACAUCAUCUUCCCUUGAAAGGUGCCUACCUUCCAAGCCCAGUGGUUUGGUGUGCAGAAAUGCUGAGCUCCCAGUCUCAGCUGAGACAGGCAGAGAGAUGCUUCAGUGAUUCACACCCUCAUGUCCUACAUGUCCUGAAUGGCAGAAUGGAUGGGUCUGUAUGCCCUUUUCCACUUGCAUUAUCCCAGCAAAUGAAAAAUUUAAAAAAGGAAGGAAAAGAAGAUGGAAGAGAGGCAAAAUGUGUGACAGACUCAAAUCCUCUGCCUCACUCUACUGCCUGUGUGUUCUCCAUGGUAUCCAGUGCUUAAUGCUUGCUGCUUACUCCAUUAUGUUCUCUCACCCACCUACUGACACAUUUCCAUUGAUCGCCCACGUAGCUUUAAGCAUUUCUACCCCCCUGCACUGAAAGCUUUUGCAAGGCAGCUGAGGUACCAACCACUGUAAUAGGUCAUGUGGUGGGAAGAAGCAGGUUUUGGGCCAUGCACAUCCCUCUGCAUCAGCUCUGGGGUCUGAAAGACCCCUCACAGUCACCUAGCUGGGCAGAGGUCCCUGCUCCUGGGACAGAGGGGUGACUGCUGUUAUGGGGCUUUGGCUGAGAGAGGCACAGGCUGCUUGGCUGCUGCAUGAUGUGGCUUCUACACUUCUGCCUUGGCAAUGCACCUGUGGUAGGAAGCAUGGCAGAAAAGCCAGAAAGAAACCACUAUACUGGGAAUGUGCUGUUCAGUAGUACAAACAGCCGUGAGGAGAAGAGAGGACAAAGAACAGCCCUUGAAGUCUCAUCCUGACUUGGUUGUAGGCAGCCUUGCUGCUGCCUUCAGAAAUAUUUUUACAGUCCAAAAUGACUAGAGAGUAUUGUGUUGGAUUUAUCAUAAUAACAUAACAGCAUGUGCCAAAACAGUAUGUCUAGCCCUGGAAACAGAAACAAUCUAGCUUUUAAUCAACAAAGAAGUUGGAGAAUAGUAUACAAAUGUUAAGUACUACUGACUUCUUUUCAGAUGCAUCUUAUGAAUAAAACUGAAUGCUGAUUCACUUGGGUUCCUGGAAAACCUUAUCUCUAAAUUGUAAUGUCAAAUUAAUAUAGUAAAGAAUUUAUAAGUUGUGUUUCUCAGAGGUUGUUUAACAGCUUGAUCCCUUGCCAGCAGUGCUUUGUCAUUCACUACUUCCCACUGGCAUUAUCUUAAAACUAAUACCAACAGCCAGUUGUUCCGGAGAGCUUAACUGAAAUGUGCAAUACUGGGAGACACAGCCAACACACCAGCUCCCACUUCAUGUGCAUUUAUAAUUACACAAGAAGUGGUGCUUAUUGUACAGUCAGCUCUGGUGCUCUCUGAGAUGACUCACCUUCUCUCACUCUGCUAUGCCAUGCUAACUUUUACACAUUUCGUCUAUCUACAUGGAUAUCCAGACUCAUCCUCUCCAACUCUGAGCUUUUUGGCUGGGAUCCUUAAAUUACAGCCUGUCUUUGCUUUAGGCUCUUCCUACAGUCAGAGAAGGGAGACAUGAACCUCACGAAGGCGGUUCUGCUCCUUGGUGGGCUGAAUCAUUGCCGGAAGGCUGCACCCCCUCCCUGUUGCUCCAUUGACUGGGGAAGGAGCCCCAGGCAGGGCUGGCAAGCCUACUGUGUUCCUGCCCCAACCAGCCCUCCCUGCUGCUGCUGGGGGGCUGA